RNAcentral lists this non-coding RNA (32 nucleotides) under Mus musculus (house mouse). Lineage: Eukaryota; Metazoa; Chordata; Mammalia; Rodentia; Muridae. The record is from RNAcentral.
GCCGCUCAGAUUCUCCUGGAAAGUGCCCAUAA